Molecule: ribosomal RNA, 667 nt
Filed under: uncultured Basidiomycota
Lineage: Eukaryota; Fungi; Basidiomycota
Description: eukaryotic LSU rRNA
Rfam family: Eukaryotic large subunit ribosomal RNA
Source: RNAcentral
AACUCGAUCUCAAAUCAAGUAAGACUACCCGCUGAACUUAAGCAUAUCAAUAAGCGGAGGAAAAGAAACUAACAAGGAUUCCCCUAGUAACGGCGAGUGAAGCGGGAUGAGCUCAAAUUUAAAAUCUGGCUGGUUUACUAGUCCGAAUUGUAGUUUAUAGAAGCGUUUUCGGUGGCAGCCUGGGUAUAAAUCCUUUGGAAUAGGGUAUCAUAGAGGGUGAGAAUCCCGUCUUUGACUCAGUGCAUGCUACUAUGUGAUACGUUUUCAAAGAGUCGAGUUGUUUGGGAAUGCAGCUCAAAAUGGGUGGUAAAUUUCAUCUAAAGCUAAAUAUUGGCGAGAGACCGAUAGCGAACAAGUACCGUGAGGGAAAGAUGAAAAGAACUUUGAAAAGAGAGUUAAACAGUGCGUGAAAUUGUUGAAAGGGAAACGUUUGACACCAGUUAUGCGGGUGGAAAAUCAGUCUUUUGCAAUGGGGAGUUGUGGGCGUUCAGACCGCAAGGCUGGCGUUUGCUUCAUCUUUGUUGUAAGUGAUGCACUUUUUCAUUUGCAGGUCAACAUCAGUUUGCUUUGCUGGACAAAACCCCAAGGGAAGGUGGCAGCUUAGGCUGUGUUAUAGCCCUGGGGCGAUACAGUGGAGUGGACUGAGGUUUCGCAGUGUGUGCUCUCG